RNAcentral lists this ribosomal RNA (465 nucleotides) under uncultured bacterium. RNAcentral's name for it is "bacterial SSU rRNA". It matches the Rfam family "Bacterial small subunit ribosomal RNA", at positions 340 to 802 of the family's 1533-position model. The record is from RNAcentral.
UACGGGAGGCAGCAGUGAGGAAUAUUGGUCAAUGGACGAGAGUCUGAACCAGCCAAGUAGCGUGCAGGAAGACGGCCCUAUGGGUUGUAAACUGCUUUUAUAAGGGAAUAAAGUGAGAGUCGUGACUCUUUUUGCAUGUACCUUAUGAAUAAGGACCGGCUAAUUCCGUGCCAGCAGCCGCGGUAAUACGGAAGGUCCGGGCGUUAUCCGGAUUUAUUGGGUUUAAAGGGAGCGUAGGCCGGAGAUUAAGCGUGUUGUGAAAUGUAGAUGCUCAACAUCUGAACUGCAGCGCGAACUGGUUUCCUUGAGUACGCACAAAGUGGGCGGAAUUCGUGGUGUAGCGGUGAAAUGCUUAGAUAUCACGAAGAACUCCGAUUGCGAAGGCAGCUCACUGGAGCGCAACUGACGCUGAAGCUCGAAAGUGCGGGUAUCGAACAGGAUUAGAUACCCUGGUAGUCCGCACGG